CAGUCGAACGAAGCUUGACGAAUGAUUUCUUCGGAAUGAAAUCUGAUAUGACUGACUGGCGGACGGGUGAGUAACGCGUGAGCAACCUGCCCUUCGGAACGGGAUAGUGUCUGGAAACGGACAGUAAUACCGUAUAACGUAUUUUUACCGCAUGAUAGAAAUACCAAAACUGAGGUGCCGAAGGAUGGGCUCGCGUCUGAUUAGAUAGUUGGUGGGGUAACGGCCUACCAAGUCGACGAUCAGUAGCCGGACUGAGAGGUUGAACGGCCACAUUGGGACUGAGACACGGCCCAGACUCCUACGGGAGGCAGCAGUGGGGAAUAUUGCACAAUGGGGGAAACCCUGAUGCAGCAACGCCGCGUGAAGGAAGACGGUUUUCGGAUUGUAAACUUCUGUUCUUAGUGAAGAAUAAUGACGGUAGCUAAGGAGCAAGCCACGGCUAACUACGUGCCAGCAGCCGCGGUAAUACGUAGGUGGCAAGCGUUGUCCGGAAUUACUGGGUGUAAAGGGAGCGUAGGCGGGAUGCCAAGUCAGCUGUGAAAACUAUGGGCUUAACCUGUAGACUGCAGUUGAAACUGGUAUUCUUGAGUGAAGUAGAGGUUGGCGGAAUUCCGAGUGUAGCGGUGAAAUGCGUAGAUAUUCGGAGGAACACCGGUGGCGAAGGCGGCCAACUGGGCUUUAACUGACGCUGAGGCUCGAAAGUGUGGGGAGCAAACAGGAUUAGAUACCCUGGUAGUCCACACUGUAAACGAUGAUAACUAGGUGUGGGGGGUCUGACCCCUUCCGUGCCGCAGCUAAC
RNAcentral lists this ribosomal RNA (799 nucleotides) under uncultured bacterium. RNAcentral's name for it is "bacterial SSU rRNA". It matches the Rfam family "Bacterial small subunit ribosomal RNA", at positions 59 to 856 of the family's 1533-position model. The record is from RNAcentral.